UACAGAGGGUGCGAGCGUUUAAUCGGAAUUACUGGGCGUAAAGGGCGCGUAGGUGGAAAGACAAGUCGGAUGUGAAAUCCCCGGGCUUAACCUGGGAAUGGCAUACGAUACUGUUUAUCUAGAGUUGAAUAGAGGGAAGUGGAAUUUCCGGUGGAGCGGUGAAAUGCGUAGAUAUCGGAAGGAACACCGAUGGCGAAAGCAGCGUGCUGGACCUUUUCUGACGCUGAGGCGCGAAAGCCAGGGGAGCAAACGGG
Molecule: ribosomal RNA, 254 nt
Filed under: uncultured bacterium
Lineage: Bacteria
Description: partial 16S ribosomal RNA
Rfam family: Bacterial small subunit ribosomal RNA
Source: RNAcentral